This 95-nucleotide ribosomal RNA is filed under the name Anolis carolinensis (green anole). Lineage: Eukaryota; Metazoa; Chordata; Lepidosauria; Squamata; Anolidae. The record is from RNAcentral.
GCCUACGGCCAUACCACCCUGAACACGCCCGAUCUCGGAAGCUAAGCAGGGUCGGGCCUGGUUAGUACUUGGAUGGGAAAAUUGAGGUGUAUAUU